Molecule: ribosomal RNA, 374 nt
Filed under: uncultured organism
Description: bacterial SSU rRNA
Rfam family: Bacterial small subunit ribosomal RNA
Source: RNAcentral
CGUAGGACACAAGCGUUAUCCGGAGUUACUGGGCGUAAAGGGCGUGUAGGCGGAUCGGUAAGUCUACUCUGAAAGCUCCUGGCUAAACUGGGAGAGGCGAGUGGAGACUGUCGGUCUGGAGUGAGGAAGAGGAAAGUGGAAUUCCGCGUGUAGUGGUGAAAUGCGUAGAGAUGCGGAGGAACACCAGUGGCGAAAGCGGCUUUCUGGUCCUUAACUGACGCUGAGGCGCGAAAGCAUGGGGAGCGAACGGGAUUAGAAACCCCGGUAGUCCAUGCCGUAAACGAUGUUCACUAAACGUUCGUUUCCCGCGAGGGAAGUGGGUGUUGAAGCUAACGCAGUAAGUGAACCGCCUGGGGAGUACGGUCGCAAGGCUA